UACUCCAUCUGAAUGAAAGCCUCUGCGACCCCGGCCAUUAUUCCAGUCCAAAAGGCUUUGCUUCUUGCAAACUCAUUGCGAAGGUAUGGCGCAUCAGACUCGUGAUUUCUAACUCCAUGAAUGCAGCUGGGCAGAAGUUGCAAGGCAAAAGCGAGAGGCCGGCAGCAUGAUGCAAAGGUGACCGGUGAUGAUGCUGCUUUGCUGAGGUCGAUUGCUGUUGAAGUGGUUGGUGUGCCCAGGCGUGCGGCUUUUGCUUGUUGCGGAGACAAGGAUACCGAGCAGAAAAAAGGAGGGGUGUACCAUGAAAGAUCACUUUGUUUCAGGACCUUAUCUAAAGCUUAGCAAAUAUCUUAAUCUAAAAUAUGCUUGAUGUGUAUGUGUUCAGUAUUCAGUGUUCUAAAUAAAGUUUGACGUUUAAGUGUC
Panicum virgatum (switchgrass) is the source of this 423-nucleotide long non-coding RNA. RefSeq lists it as uncharacterized. The transcript has 2 exons. The record is from RefSeq and is a predicted model, not a curated record. NCBI's taxonomy places the organism in Eukaryota, Viridiplantae, Streptophyta, Magnoliopsida, Poales, Poaceae.